AACAGCUGAGGCAAAGGAUUUGCCCAGCGUCAGGGAUGACAGGCCACGAAAGGAUUCACUUCGACAGGGAGUUGAAUGGGCCACACAAAAAACCCGCUUCGGCGGGUUUUUU
RNAcentral lists this small RNA (112 nucleotides) under Pseudomonas sp. M47T1. Lineage: Bacteria; Pseudomonadati; Pseudomonadota; Gammaproteobacteria; Pseudomonadales; Pseudomonadaceae. The record is from RNAcentral.